RNAcentral lists this ribosomal RNA (497 nucleotides) under uncultured bacterium. RNAcentral describes it as "partial 16S ribosomal RNA". It matches the Rfam family "Bacterial small subunit ribosomal RNA", at positions 28 to 507 of the family's 1533-position model. The record is from RNAcentral.
GAUGAACGCUGGCGGCGUGCCUAAUACAUGCAAGUCGAGCGAACAGAUGAGGAGCUUGCUCCUCUGACGUUAGCGGCGGACGGGUGAGUAACACGUGGAUAACCUACCUAUAAGACUGGGAUAACUUCGCGAAACCGGAGCUAAUACCGGAUAAUAUAUUGAACCGCAUGGUUCAAUAGUGAAAGACGGUUUUGCUGUCACUUAUAGAUGGAUCCGCGCCGCAUUAGCUAGUUGGUAAGGUAACGGCUUACCAAGGCAACGAUGCGUAGCCGACCUGAGAGGGUGAUCGGCCACACUGGAACUUAGACACGGUCCAGACUCCUACGGGAGGCAGCAGUAGGGAAUCUUCCGCAAUGGGCGAAAGCCUGACGGAGCAACGCCGCGUGAGUGAUUAAGGUCUUCGGAUCGGAAAACUCUGUUAUUAGGGAAGAACAAAUGUGUAAGUAACUAUGCACGUCUUGACGGUACCUAAUCAGAAAGCCACGGCUAACUACGUG